UACGAAGGGGGCUAGCGUUGCUCGGAAUCACUGGGCGUAAAGGGUGCGUAGGCGGGGCUUUAAGGCAGGGGGGAAAUCCUGGAGCUCAACUCCAGAACUGCCUUUGAUACUGAGGAUCUUGAGUCCGGGAGAGGUGAGUGGAACUGCGAGUGUAGAGGUGAAAUUCGUAGAUAUUCGCAAGAACACCAGUGGCGAAGGCGGCUCACUGGCCCGAUACUGACGCUGAGGUGCGAAAGCGUGGGGAGCAAACAGG
Molecule: ribosomal RNA, 253 nt
Filed under: uncultured bacterium
Lineage: Bacteria
Description: partial 16S ribosomal RNA
Rfam family: Bacterial small subunit ribosomal RNA
Source: RNAcentral